GGCUGCUAAAAGAGUGGGGUUACGAUGAGCCACCUAAAGAUAUUAUAAACUGAGCGCUUUCCUUACAAGGAAGAAGUCACAGGUUCAAAUCCUGUAGCACCCA
This 103-nucleotide transfer RNA is filed under the name Acidimicrobiia bacterium. RNAcentral describes it as "tRNA-Val". The record is from RNAcentral. Lineage: Bacteria; Bacillati; Actinomycetota; Acidimicrobiia.